CGGCACGGGUGAGUAACACGUAUCCAACCUGCCGUCUACUCUUGGCCAGCCUUCUGAAAGGAAGAUUAAUCCAGGAUGGGAUCAUGAGUUCACAUGUCCGCAUGAUUAAAGGUAUUUUCCGGUAGACGAUGGGGAUGCGUUCCAUUAGAUAGUAGGCGGGGUAACGGCCCACCUAGUCAACGAUGGAUAGGGGUUCUGAGAGGAAGGUCCCCCACAUUGGAACUGAGACACGGUCCAA
This 238-nucleotide ribosomal RNA is filed under the name uncultured bacterium. RNAcentral's name for it is "partial 16S ribosomal RNA". It matches the Rfam family "Bacterial small subunit ribosomal RNA", at positions 100 to 334 of the family's 1533-position model. The record is from RNAcentral.